RNAcentral lists this ribosomal RNA (230 nucleotides) under Candidatus Peribacteria bacterium. Its description in RNAcentral is "partial 23S ribosomal RNA". It matches the Rfam family "Bacterial large subunit ribosomal RNA", at positions 2698 to 2925 of the family's 2925-position model. The record is from RNAcentral. Lineage: Bacteria; Candidatus Peregrinibacteriota; Candidatus Peribacteria.
UGGACAAGCCUCUGGUAGUACCAGUUGUUCCGCCAGGAGCACCGCUGGAUAGCUAUGCUUGGAAAAGGUAACCGCUGAAAGCAUCUAAGUGGGAAACUUGUCUCAAGAUUAGAUUUCUCUCUCUUUAUGAGAAUAAGACCUCCGCGAGACUAGCGGUUUGAUAGGCUUCAUGUGGAAGUCCAGCAAUGGAUUGAGCAAAGAAGUACUAAUCGGUCGAACGAGUUUGUUUC